CUGGCCAGGUGAGGCUUUGCCACAGGGCUGCCAUUAAAGAUGGUGCUUGGUGAAGGGGGCGGGGCCUGCAGCCGUGAGCCAAUGGUGGGAGCUGACCAGUGGGCGCGGUCUCUGCCCCUCCCCCAGGCUGCACAACCACGCCUCCACCAUCCGCCAGGCUGUCCUUGCCUCAUUGGACGAUCCCAGGACGCACACCCCGGACAUAGGCGGGCAGGGAACGACCUCCGGCGCCGUGCAGAGCAUCCUCAGCCACCUCCCCCACGCUUAAUAUGGGCAUGUGGGCGGGGCCAGAUGGGGUAGGCGUGGCCUGGCCUGUGCGGGCAUGGUGUGGCAUUCCCACGUGACAGCCGUGGGCGUGGCUUGAGCCACGUGGGUGGAGCCAGGGCCCUUGUGGGCAGGGCCUGAACCGUGUGGGAGUGGCUCAACUCAAUGGGCAGGGCCAGCAGAAGCUGUAGCAUCAAAGCUGCCCACGCCUAAUUAAAAUAAAGUAAUUAAACAUUCA
Molecule: non-coding RNA, 502 nt
Organism: Meleagris gallopavo (turkey)
Lineage: Eukaryota; Metazoa; Chordata; Aves; Galliformes; Phasianidae
Source: RefSeq, a predicted model, not a curated record